Molecule: ribosomal RNA, 253 nt
Filed under: uncultured bacterium
Lineage: Bacteria
Description: partial 16S ribosomal RNA
Rfam family: Bacterial small subunit ribosomal RNA
Source: RNAcentral
UACGUAGGGUGCAAGCGUUAUCCGGAUUUACUGGGUUUAAAGGGUGCGUAGGUGGGUCUGUAAGUCAGUGGUGAAAUCUCCGAGCUUAACUCGGAAACUGCCAUUGAUACUAUAGGUCUUGAAUCAUCUGGAGGUGAGCGGAAUAUGUCAUGUAGCGGUGAAAUGCUUAGAUAUGACACAGAACACCGAUUGCGAAGGCAGCUCACUAAAUUGUAACUGACGCUGAGGCACGAAAGCGUGGGGAUCAAACAGG